CCUACGGGAGGCAGCAGUGAGGAAUAUUGGUCAAUGGACGAGAGUCUGAACCAGCCAAGUAGCGUGAAGGAUGAAUGCCCUAUGGGUUGUAAACUUCUUUUAUAUGGGAAUAAAACAGGGUAUGCAUACCCUCCUGUAUGUACCAUAUGAAUAAGGAUCGGCUAACUCCGUGCCAGCAGCCGCGGUAAUACGGAGGAUCCGAGCGUUAUCCGGAUUUAUUGGGUUUAAAGGGAGCGUAGGUGGAUUGUUAAGUCAGUUGUGAAAGUUUGCGGCUCAACCGUAAAAUUGCAGUUGAAACUGGCAGGCUGGAGUGCAGUAGAGGUGGGCGGAAUUCGUGGUGUAGCGGUGAAAUGCUUAGAUAUCACGAAGAACUCCGAUUGCGAAGGCAGCUCACUGGACUGCAACUGACACUGAUGCUCGAAAGUGUGGGUAUCAAACAGGAUUAGAUACCCUGGUAGUC
Molecule: ribosomal RNA, 460 nt
Filed under: uncultured bacterium
Lineage: Bacteria
Description: partial 16S ribosomal RNA
Rfam family: Bacterial small subunit ribosomal RNA
Source: RNAcentral